AGAUUGAUGGACUCCAGUCUUUAUCUUAUUACAGGAAGCCAGCACUCUUGUUCUACCAAGGAGUGGCAGUGGCUCUGGUUACCUAUGCCGCAAAGCACCAGAAAAGUUGGUGACAUCUCACUGAUGUUCCACUGGUGGGGCCUCAAGGAAAGAGCAAUGCCGCAUGAGCCUGCUUCAUGUUUUUAUGUGAAAAGAUAG
This 198-nucleotide long non-coding RNA is filed under the name Chinchilla lanigera (long-tailed chinchilla). RNAcentral describes it as "lncRNA (ENSCLAG00000027614.1)". The record is from RNAcentral. Lineage: Eukaryota; Metazoa; Chordata; Mammalia; Rodentia; Chinchillidae.